ACCUGGCUGGCUCAGUCACUAGAGCAUGUGACUCUUGAUCUCAGGGUUGUGAGUUCAAGCCACAUGUUGGGCA
RNAcentral lists this transfer RNA (73 nucleotides) under Felis catus (domestic cat). It matches the Rfam family "tRNA". Rfam says of the family: Transfer RNA (tRNA) molecules are approximately 80 nucleotides in length. Their secondary structure includes four short double-helical elements and three loops (D, anti-codon, and T loops). Lineage: Eukaryota; Metazoa; Chordata; Mammalia; Carnivora; Felidae. RNAcentral also lists the same sequence under 5 other names. The record is from Rfam by way of RNAcentral.